CCAUAAGUUAGACUCCUUUGUGUUCUAAGUCAUCCUAUUAAAGUCAUUGCUGCUUCAUAUCCCUGAGAGAAUAAAAUGUUUAUGAACCCCAAAUAGGGCCAACAGGUGACACAGAGCCCUUUCCCUUUAUGAAUUCAUGCAAAUUACAUCAUGACAAUUAUGACUUAAUCCCCAGGAUUCUAAACCCCUGGAAAGAGUUUUAGGCACAAGAUUAAGAGGUGGAUGGAACUGGAGGUCAUAUCUUAAAUGAAACAAGCCAAGCAAAGAAAGUCAAAUAUCACAUAUUCUCACUCCUAAGUAGGGACUAAAAAAUGUGUACACAUGGAUGUAGAGAAUGGAAUGAUUGACAGCAAUAUAGACACACAGAUGACCCAACAUGGAAAAUAAUAUAUUGUAAAAGUCAUUCAGUUGUGGGGAAAUGUGCAGAGAGGAUUCUAUUUGGACUUGUUAUAAAUAAGCAAGAUUGUAUCAACAAUCUAGAGAGCCUCUGAAGUGUAACUACCCUUUCAGCAUUUCAGAAGACCAUACACUAUUCCCGUUGAUGAGACUAUACAGGAUGAACAAAACAGAAAAAAAUUGUGUCCUCAUGGAGCAGACUGCAUAAAUUUUAUUCAGAAAAGAUAUGCUACAGAAGGUGACAGUGUUGGAGUGGAGUGACUGAAAUUAUACAUGUAGCCACAGGGAUAAAUUGAUUUUUGAAUAAAAUUCUGAAUGAGAAGUUAUAUGAAGCAGGCCUGGCACGGUGGCUCAUGCCUGUAAUCCCAGCACUUUGGGAGGCUGAGGAGGACGCAUCACCUGAAGUCAGGAAUUUGAGACCAGCCUGACCAACAUGGAGAAACCCCAUCUCAACUAAAAAUACAAAAUUAGCCUGGUGUGGUGGCGCAUCCCUGUAAUCCCAGCUACUCACGAGGCUGAGCCAGGAGAAUCACUUGAACCCAGGACACGGCAGUUUUGCAUUAUUGUUUUGUACUACUAAGCUUUGACACGAACUAUGGGGAAGAUCUAAAAUUAAUAUACAACCAUACCUCAAAAUAUUGCAGGAUCAGUUCCAGACCACUGCCAUGAAGUCAAUAUUGCAACAAAGUGCCCAAAAAUCAUGGUCUAGUUUUCCCUGCUUUCACCCUCACAACUGGAGGGUUCAUGGAGCUCUCCAGGGGAUGACGGUUGUGCCAUGCAGAGCAGCAUUUCUAAGCAAGUGUGAGUUCAUGAGUGUGAUUGAAACUGCUGUUUCACAUAGAAAGGCCUGCGUGCAGCAGGUUGCAAACAGGUCCUGAAGGGACGGCACAUCCCAGCUGGAGCGUGUGGCCCAUCUGCCCGAUUAGCACCGUGGCUGAAAGGAGCUGACAAGCAGCUUCUAUUUUUAUCUAAUCUUUAAAUUCCAGGAACCUCAUUUCACUAAAUCAUAGCUUUCGAGUAGGAUUGUAAAAGCUUUCCCUCUGCUCAUUCCUUUUUAAUCUAGGUUUCUCUCAAGAGCUCUACUCAUGGAAGGCUCUAUUCUGAUAAACUCUCCGUCUCCCCUGCCAUUACAACGUUGAAAUGAAAAUCCCCUGAGCUAAAAGUAAAACAAAACAGUGUCUAAGGAUAACUUAGAAAUUACUCAUACUGCUAAAGGUAUUUUAACAGAUUUAAGAAUUAAUAUUUCCUGUUUUUAUAUAGUUUUUGCAUUGGGCAUAAUGCAGUACAGUAUGCAAAGAUUAGUAUAUUUACAAUUGCUUUCACUACUUUUCUUAGAGGCAAUAAAAAU
RNAcentral lists this long non-coding RNA (1744 nucleotides) under Homo sapiens (human). RNAcentral describes it as "HSALNT0323224". Lineage: Eukaryota; Metazoa; Chordata; Mammalia; Primates; Hominidae. The record is from RNAcentral.